Molecule: ribosomal RNA, 798 nt
Filed under: uncultured bacterium
Lineage: Bacteria
Description: bacterial SSU rRNA
Rfam family: Bacterial small subunit ribosomal RNA
Source: RNAcentral
AGUCGAGGGGCAGCAUGAUUGAGGCUUGCUUCAAUUGAUGGCGACCGGCGCACGGGUGAGUAACGCGUAUCCAACCUUCCGUACACUCAGGGAUAGCCUUUCGAAAGAAAGAUUAAUACCUGAUGGUAUGAUGAGAUUGCAUGAUAGCAUCAUUAAAGAUUUAUCGGUGUACGAUGGGGAUGCGUUCCAUUAGGUAGUAGGCGGGGUAACGGCCCACCUAGCCUACGAUGGAUAGGGGUUCUGAGAGGAAGGUCCCCCACAUUGGAACUGAGACACGGUCCAAACUCCUACGGGAGGCAGCAGUGAGGAAUAUUGGUCAAUGGACGAGAGUCUGAACCAGCCAAGUAGCGUGAAGGAUGAAGGUCUUACGGAUUGUAAACUUCUUUUAUAAGGGAAUAAAACCUCCCACGUGUGGGAGCUUGUAUGUACCUUAUGAAUAAGCAUCGGCUAACUCCGUGCCAGCAGCCGCGGUAAUACGGAGGAUGCGAGCGUUAUCCGGAUUUAUUGGGUUUAAAGGGAGCGCAGACGGGUCGUUAAGUCAGCUGUGAAAGUUUGGGGCUCAACCUUAAAAUUGCAGUUGAUACUGGCGUCCUUGAGUGCGGUUGAGGUGUGCGGAAUUCGUGGUGUAGCGGUGAAAUGCUUAGAUAUCACGAAGAACUCCGAUUGCGAAGGCAGCACACUAAGCCGUAACUGACGUUCAUGCUCGAAAGUGUGGGUAUCAAACAGGAUUAGAUACCCUGGUAGUCCACACGGUAAACGAUGGAUACUCGCUGUUGGCGAUAUACGGUCAGCGGCUCA